AAAAAGACAAACACUGGGUUUCUGUGUCCAAUAUAAAUAUUAAUUUUAUUUACGAUUAAUAUUUUUAUUGUUAUUAUAUGAUAAAACAUGAAUAGUAUUUUAUGUGCGACUAACUUUUUUUAAUUUUCUCAUAAAUUUUUCAAAUAAGACGGGCGGUCAAACGUUGGACACGGAUUUCCACGGCUGCACUUAUU
This is a non-coding RNA of Oryza glumipatula, 194 nucleotides long. NCBI's taxonomy places the organism in Eukaryota, Viridiplantae, Streptophyta, Magnoliopsida, Poales, Poaceae. The record is from Rfam.